UGGUAUUGAUUGGUGCUUGCAUCAUGAUUUACAUUUGAGUGAGUGGCGAACUGGUGAGUAACACGUGGGAAACCUGCCCAGAAGCGGGGGAUAACACCUGGAAACAGAUGCUAAUACCGCAUAACAACUUGGACCGCAUGGUCCGAGUUUGAAAGAUGGCUUCGGCUAUCACUUUUGGAUGGUCCCGCGGCGUAUUAGCUAGAUGGUGGGGUAACGGCUCACCAUGGCAAUGAUACGUAGCCGACCUGAGAGGGUAAUCGGCCACAUUGGGACUGAGACACGGCCCAAACUCCUACGGGAGGCAGCAGUAGGGAAUCUUCCACAAUGGACGAAAGUCUGAUGGAGCAACGCCGCGUGAGUGAAGAAGGGUUUCGGCUCGUAAAACUCUGUUGUUAAAGAAGAACAUAUCUGAGAGUAACUGUUCAGGUAUUGACGGUAUUUAACCAGAAAGCCACGGCUAACUACGUGCCAGCAGCCGCGGUAAUACGUAGGUGGCAAGCGUUGUCCGGAUUUAUUGGGCGUAAAGCGAGCGCAGGCGGUUUUUUAAGUCUGAUGUGAAAGCCUUCGGCUCAACCGAAGAAGUGCAUCGGAAACUGGGAAACUUGAGUGCAGAAGAGGACAGUGGAACUCCAUGUGUAGCGGUGAAAUGCGUAGAUAUAUGGAAGAACACCAGUGGCGAAGGCGGCUGUCUGGUCUGUAACUGACGCUGAGGCUCGAAAGUAUGGGUAGCAAACAGGAUUAGAUACCCUGGUAGUCCAUACCGUAAACGAUGAAUGCUAAGUGUUGGAGGGUUUCCGCCCUUCAGUGCUGCAGCUAACGCAUUAAGCAUUCCGCCUGGGGAGUACGGCCGCAAGGCUGAAACUCAAAGGAAUUGACGGGGGCCCGCACAAGCGGUGGAGCAUGUGGUUUAAUUCGAAGCUACGCCGAAGAACCUUACCAGGUCUUGACAUACUAUGCAAAUCUAAGAGAUUAGACGUUCCCUUCGGGGACAUGGAUACAGGUGGUGCAUGGUUGUCGUCAGCUCGUGUCGUGAGAUGUUGGGUUAAGUCCCGCAACGAGCGCAACCCUUAUUAUCAGUUGCCAGCAUUAAGUUGGGCACUCUGGUGAGACUGCCGGUGACAAACCGGAGGAAGGUGGGGAUGACGUCAAAUCAUCAUGCCCCUUAUGACCUGGGCUACACACGUGCUACAAUGGAUGGUACAACGAGUUGCGAACUCGCGAGAGUAAGCUAAUCUCUUAAAGCCAUUCUCAGUUCGGAUUGUAGGCUGCAACUCGCCUACAUGAAGUCGGAAUCGCUAGUAAUCGCGGAUCAGCAUGCCGCGGUGAAUACGUUCCCGGGCCUUGUACACACCGCCCGUCACACCAUGAGAGUUUGUAACACCCAAAGUCGGUGGGGU
Molecule: ribosomal RNA, 1397 nt
Filed under: Lactiplantibacillus plantarum subsp. plantarum
Lineage: Bacteria; Bacillati; Bacillota; Bacilli; Lactobacillales; Lactobacillaceae
Description: bacterial SSU rRNA
Rfam family: Bacterial small subunit ribosomal RNA
Source: RNAcentral